GACAGAGGGUGCAAACGUUGUUCGGAAUUACUGGGCGUAAAGCGCGCGUAGGCGGACAUUUAAGUCAGGGGUGAAAUGCCGGGGCUCAACCUCGGAACUGCCUUUGAUACUGGGUGUCUGGAGUUCGGGAGAGGUGAGUGGAAUUCCGAGUGUAGAGGUGAAAUUCGUAGAUAUUCGGAGGAACACCAGAAGCGAAGGCGGCUCACUGGCCCGAUACUGACGCUGAGGCGCGAAAGCGUGGGGAGCAAACAGG
RNAcentral lists this ribosomal RNA (253 nucleotides) under uncultured bacterium. RNAcentral describes it as "partial 16S ribosomal RNA". It matches the Rfam family "Bacterial small subunit ribosomal RNA", at positions 524 to 776 of the family's 1533-position model. The record is from RNAcentral.